RNAcentral lists this ribosomal RNA (253 nucleotides) under uncultured bacterium. RNAcentral describes it as "partial 16S ribosomal RNA". It matches the Rfam family "Bacterial small subunit ribosomal RNA", at positions 524 to 776 of the family's 1533-position model. The record is from RNAcentral.
UACGUAGGGAGCAAGCGUUGUCCGGAUUUAUUGGGCGUAAAGCGCGUGUAGGCGGCCAUACAGGUCCGUUGUGAAAACUCGAGGCUUAACCUCGAGACGUCGAUGGAAACCGUAUGGCUAGAGUCCGGAAGAGGAGAGUGGAAUUCCUGGUGUAGCGGUGAAAUGCGCAGAUAUCAGGAAGAACACCCGUGGCGAAGGCGGCUCUCUGGGACGGUACUGACGCUGAGACGCGAAAGCGUGGGGAGCGAACAGG